UUAUGUAUACACACCAUAACACUCAUACAAACAUGCAUGAAUUAAAGCACACCGAAUUCAGAGACAAAUGUAAAUGUGUAAAUACAGGAGGAGCUCUGACAUCACUGUAGAGAAAGUGAAACUAACUUGAUCAACAACAAUAUGGACACCUGAAACGAUCAACUUCUCUAAACAACAGAAUAUUUACUGAGCCGUUCAAAGAGACUUGUGAUACUCACAGUCUCUACAGAGCUGAAGAGGAUGCAGCAGUAUGCAGUGGAUGUGACUCUGAAUCCUGAUACAGCUCAUCCAAACCUCAUCCUGUCUGAUGAUGGAAAACAAGUGAGAUGUGGAGACAUUAAGCAGAAACUCCCAGACAAACCAGAGAGAUUUGAUCCAUGUAUACGUGUCCUGGGAAAGGAGAGAUUCUCCUCAGGGAGAUUUUAUUUUGAGGUGCAGGUGAAGGAAAAGACUGAAUGGACUUUAGGAGUGGCCAGAGAAUCCAUUAUCAGGAAGGGAUUGAUCACACUGAGUCCCAGUAAUGGAUACUGGACUGUGGUUCUGAGGAAUGAGAAUGAAUAUGAAGCCUUUGCUGGUCCUCCUGUCUCUCUGUCUCUGAGCGUGAAGCCGCAGCGGGUCGGUGUGUUUGUGGAUUAUGAGGAGGGUCUGGUCUCCUUUUAUGAUGUGGAGUCCAGCUCUCAUAUCUACUCUUUCACUGGUCAGUCUUUCACUCGCAAACUCUGUCCAUAUUUUAGCCCAGGCCUUAAUGAUGGAGGUAAAAACUCGACUCCACUGAUCAUCACACCUGUCAAUCACAAUAAAUGAAUUCAUACCCCUAAUAUGAAAUACUUGAUGAAAAUAAUGCUGUAUGUGUCAUGACUUCGGUCUGAUUUGCCCAGUUUUGUUGUCUUGUCCUGUGUCUGCGUGCCCUGUUGUCUUCAUGCUGAUCUGUUGUUUUGACAGCUCUCCAUGUGCUCUGCUGUCAGUGUGGCGUUUUUCCCCUCCCACUCGUUACCUUAUCUUCUAUUGUGUUCUCUGUCACACCUGUUGCCACUUAUCCCUCAUUAGCUUUCCCCUAUAUUAGAUCCUCUUGUGCUCAGUCUUUUGUCAGACCGUUGUUGUAUGUUUGAGCCAACGCUUCGCUCUUGACCUUCUCUUGUUUGUCUUGUCUUGCUGUAUCGUGUAUUUAGACUCCAAGUGCUGCUUUGUUUUAUUUAUUUUGUUUUGAUCAGUUGUUUCUCAUUCUGCCAGACAUUUUUGUUCUUCUCCCUGCCCUGACUAUCUUUGUGUCAGUUGAGACUUGGAUGUAUCGCUCCAGCCCCUCUCAGCAAUCUCAACGCUCUCUCCUGGAGAAUUGGUGAGAUUUCGACGCUGCGUCACUGUCAACGCUCUGGGCAGAGUGACUUCCACGCUGCGUCACAAGCGACGCUAGGACCUUGUUUUGGACAUUCUCUCUCUUUUGUUUGUUUUCUUUUUCCCCCUGCGCUCAGUGAGAGCAAAAAUAAACUUUUCUGUUACCUGCAACUGAAUCCGUGUUAUUGCCUGACAGUAUGUAAUUAAUGUUUAAAAACACUAAAAUGUAUGUGUUAACUCAAAGGAUGAGAAUCAUUUGUUUUUGCUGCUUGGUUUACAUCAAUGUGAUUUUUUGGUUUUGUACUUUUAAUUGAUUGAUUGUUGUUUCUGUUUUAUUGUGUCCGAUAUUAACCCUACAUAAUUAUCUCACCAUAUGUAGCAGAUAUCACAACGAUUAAUUGAGUGUGACACUUUUGGUGCUUUUCCACUGUGCUGUAUGGCUCGGUUUGCUUUUCCACUGCCGUUAGUACUGAUUUGUACUAUGCAGUGGAAAAGAGCCAUUAAUGUCCCCCUGCAGUCAAUAAUUUGAUCCCUCAAAACUCAUCUUUGAUCACCAAAAUGACAUAUUUAAACAUAUUUUAUCUUGAAAUGCCUUAAAAUAGCCUGAAUGUAACUCUACACCCUUGCCUCAUUUAGUGUAUGGGGAUCUAUGAAUAUGCUAAUAAAGCGCUAUAGAAAUAA
Molecule: RNA transcript, 2013 nt
Organism: Megalobrama amblycephala (Wuchang bream)
Lineage: Eukaryota; Metazoa; Chordata; Actinopteri; Cypriniformes; Xenocyprididae
Gene name: pyrin-like
Exons: 4
Source: RefSeq, a predicted model, not a curated record